Macaca mulatta (Rhesus monkey) is the source of this 527-nucleotide non-coding RNA. The record is from RefSeq and is a predicted model, not a curated record. NCBI's taxonomy places the organism in Eukaryota, Metazoa, Chordata, Mammalia, Primates, Cercopithecidae.
UUUAUAGAUUUCUCCAAAUAAUCUUAAUUCUAAAAAUUAAUUUGUUAAAAGAUAACAAAAGUGACAAAAGUGACCAUGUUUGACUAAAGUUUACCAGGAGAAGCAGAAACUAUGGGUGUACGUAUCUAUCAGCAUCUCGGAUUCACCACUCAUAGAUGUGUGUCUUUGCAGUGUCACCAACCAUUAAUCUUAAGCUCUUGAAUCCAGGACUUUAUUGUAGAAUGACUGAACAUUCUACUUCUAUUCAACAUUGUAAGAUUCUAGCCAAGGCAACUAGGCAAGACAAUGAAAUUAAAGGCACCCAGAUUGGAAAGGACAAAGUAAAACUAUCUCUAUUUGCCGAAGUGUUCAAAAUCUUUGAAUUUUAGAAAACAGAAGAGAUGGACAGAGAGACAGAUUUGCUACAGGACGAAAAGGAAAGCAGAAACCCCAAUUCUGUAGUGCAUACGCUUUGGAAUCAGCAAAAAAAAGGGAAACAACUCCAGUCAACUCAUUCAUUAAAUAAGGUGCGACCCACUCAUUCCUCA